This 459-nucleotide ribosomal RNA is filed under the name uncultured bacterium. Its description in RNAcentral is "partial 16S ribosomal RNA". It matches the Rfam family "Bacterial small subunit ribosomal RNA", at positions 338 to 795 of the family's 1533-position model. The record is from RNAcentral.
CCUACGGGUGGCAGCAGUGAGGAAUAUUGGACAAUGGCCGCAGGGCUGAACCAGCCAAGCCGCGUGAGGGAUGACGGUCCUAUGGAUUGUAAACCUCUUUUGUCAGGGAGCAAAAGACGCCACGCGUGGCGUUCCGAGAGUACCCGAAGAAAAAGCAUCGGCUAACUCCGUGCCAGCAGCCGCGGUAAUACGGAGGGUGCGAGCGUUAUCCGGAUUUAUUGGGUGUAAAGGGUGCGCAGGCGGAAGAGCAAGUCAGCGGUAACAUUGAGGGGCUCAACCUCUUCGAGCCGUUGAAACUGGUGUUCUUGAGUGAGUGAGAGGGAGGCGGAAUGCGUGGUGUAGCGGUGAAAUGCAUAGAUAUCACGCAGAACUCCGAUUGCGAAGGCAGCAUACCGGCGCUCAACUGACGCUCAUGCACGAAAGUGUGGGUAGCGAACAGGAUUAGAUACCCCAGUAGUC